UUCCAGACUCCUACGGGAGGCAGCAGUGGGGAAUAUUGGGCAAUGGGCGCAAGCCUGACCCAGCAACGCCGCGUGAAGGAAGAAGGCUUUCGGGUUGUAAACUUCUUUUGUCAGGGACGAAGCAAGUGACGGUACCUGACGAAUAAGCCACGGCUAACUACGUGCCAGCAGCCGCGGUAAUACGUAGGUGGCAAGCGUUAUCCGGAUUUAUUGGGUGUAAAGGGCGUGUAGGCGGGAAUGCAAGUCAGAUGUGAAAUUCCGGGGCUCAACCCCGGACCUGCAUUUGAAACUGUUGGUCUUGAGUAUCGGAGAGGCAGGCGGAAUUCCUAGUGUAGCGGUGAAAUGCGUAGAUAUUAGGAGGAACACCAGUGGCGAAGGCGGCCUGCUGGACGACAACUGACGGUGAGGCGCGAAAGCGUGGGGAGCGAACAGGAUUAGAUACCCCAGUA
Molecule: ribosomal RNA, 449 nt
Filed under: uncultured bacterium
Lineage: Bacteria
Description: bacterial SSU rRNA
Rfam family: Bacterial small subunit ribosomal RNA
Source: RNAcentral